This is a long non-coding RNA of Bactrocera latifrons, 549 nucleotides long. RefSeq lists it as uncharacterized. The record is from RefSeq and is a predicted model, not a curated record. NCBI's taxonomy places the organism in Eukaryota, Metazoa, Arthropoda, Insecta, Diptera, Tephritidae. The transcript has 2 exons.
GUGUGYUUACUUUGAGUAGGCAAAUUUGUUUUCAUUUUCGUAUGUGCAUAAGUAGUAGAUUUGUGAAAAUUGCCUACAAUGCAUAAGUCAGGCACCAUUGUGCUGACAGCAAUAACAACGCGUGAUAUAAGCUCAGCGCAGUUUCGAACGUCACGGCGGAAGUACUUAAUUUUAAAGUGUUUAGAUUUAUACAAAGCUCCACCGAAUAUGAGUUGGGUAAAUAUAAAUGCAUAAUUAUGCCAUUAACACAUCGUGGAAGGCGUCCCACAAUGAAUAAAACUGAGCARAAGAACACUUGAACCUUAAGCUGACAUUCACUUGCGUUGUGGAGGACUUCUCGGGUAUUAAUAUCCUCAUCUUCAAUGAAUUCCUAUUGCAGUUUAUUUUUUACUAAAUMAAGCCGCAAUAACUCGUUCUCGGGCAGUUAGCCUCAGCAGCWGGUGUUGCAAUGAUAUAAAAAAGAAAUUUGUUUGCGGUAUUUGUGGACUAAUAACUUUAAUUAAGUUGUUUUCAUGAAUAAAUAUGAAAGUCGUAGUGAAUAACUCACAA